CAAGAUCUAGAAAUAGCACUGUGGAAAAUUGCUUUUAUGUAAUCUUUCUCCGAGUGCCAUUCUGUGAAUACUUAUCAUCCCAGCAGAAACAAGUGGGAAAGAUCACAUCUUGUGGGGACUCUAGGGACACGCUGUGGCUCAGAGUCACGCCACUGCCUCACAGGCCUCUAGAAACCACUAGAAACUGGAGAGCAUUUUCAGCACAACAGGGAAGUUAGUAAGUGCAGGACCAAUCUGUGAAGUGAGGUCCAUCUCUGGUUUCAGUAUGGAUGGGCCGUUAGCUCAUGGGCUCCAAGCAGGAGUCCCCUAGGAACUACCAUUCUACUUUCUGUUUGUUGGAUUUUGACUCUUCCUGGCAUCUCAGGUGUAUGGCAUUAUUGUGCAUGCCUGUCACCUACCUCUGGGGUGGAAAUAGGCAGAUCCUGAGAGUUCUCUGACCAGCCAGAUUAUCCCAUACUGGAAUUGUCAGUGGCUGCCCAAAUAUCAAGAGCUCCUGGAUUAAAUUGAUAAACAUGCCUGCCUCUCACAAGCCGACUCUGUGUGGCUGGGUAAUUCUGAUGUGUUCUGAGGGGUAAGCUGUGCUGAUGUUUGCCUAACUCUGUGCUGUUUUCACUGUAACGUGAGGACUGUGACAGGUUGCUUGUUCCAAGGAUUUUGCUGGACCCAGCAAGGGAAUUACUGAAUAUCCUGAGACCCAUGUCUUCUGCCCUAUGAGUGACCUUCUCAGCAUGGCGCCAUGCCUCAGGGGUGGUUAGAGACAGACAGGAGUCUUCUCAAUAGGGGAAGUGUGUUGUGCCAUCGUUUUUCUGAAGUGCCACCCAGAUUGACUGCCCAGUUCUGAGGUGCAGGGUGAAGCAAGCUAACAGAGGAUUGGCACCAUGCUGUUAAAGGU
Molecule: non-coding RNA, 892 nt
Organism: Cricetulus griseus (Chinese hamster)
Lineage: Eukaryota; Metazoa; Chordata; Mammalia; Rodentia; Cricetidae
Source: RefSeq, a predicted model, not a curated record